AAAACGACUCUCGGCAACGGAUAUCUCGGCUCUCGCAUCGAUGAAGAACGUAGCGAAAUGCGAUACUUGGUGUGAAUUGCAGAAUCCCGUGAACCAUCGAGUCUUUGAACGCAAGUUGCGCCCUAAGCCUUUUGGCCGAGGGCACGUCUGCCUGGGCGUCAAUC
Molecule: ribosomal RNA, 164 nt
Filed under: Clarkia imbricata
Lineage: Eukaryota; Viridiplantae; Streptophyta; Magnoliopsida; Myrtales; Onagraceae
Description: 5.8S ribosomal RNA
Rfam family: 5.8S ribosomal RNA
About the family: 5.8S ribosomal RNA (5.8S rRNA) is a component of the large subunit of the eukaryotic ribosome. It is transcribed by RNA polymerase I as part of the 45S precursor that also contains 18S and 28S rRNA.
Source: RNAcentral